This 628-nucleotide unclassified non-coding RNA is filed under the name Trypanosoma grosi. Lineage: Eukaryota; Euglenozoa; Kinetoplastea; Trypanosomatida; Trypanosomatidae. The record is from RNAcentral.
UUUUGUAUAUUCACACUUAUAUAUAUAUAUUGUGUGUGUAUAUGCAUGUGUAUGUAUUUAGCCGCACACUAUUUUGUUGUGUGCGUGUGUGGUAUCUUCUCUGUACAUAUAAUAUGCGCUUGCUUCUGAAAAAGAGCUUACGUGUGCGUAUGCAAAAAACAACAACACACACCAUGCACAAGUGGUAACCUUCCCUUGUGUUGUGUGUGGUGGUGAGGAAGAGAGGUGAUAAUGAGGGGUGGUGGUGGUGCGUGUUGGAAUGGUGUGUGUGGUGGUUGGUUGGUGUCAAAGGCACCAACCAACCACCAACCAACCAAAAAAACCACCUUCUCCUCCUUCUCCUCCCUCUCCCUCUGCCCUCUCUUUCACUCUCAGUCACUUUGUGGUCUAUACCGUGUCUUUUUACGUGUGCGUGUUAUGGGAAAAGUAGAGAAUAGCGUCACAUAUAUGUAUAUAUAUGUAUAUGUGGCCCCCGUUUCACGCAAAAGAGAGCUUUCUCUUUUCUUCUCAGUUGUGUCGGGGGGAUUCUUCGCGGUCUUUCAUUGUGCAACAUGCAGACAGAGAGCGCACCCCGCUCUCGCUCGGGACGACAGAGGGAAGUUUCUUCUUGUUCAAAAAAUACUAAUUC